This 77-nucleotide transfer RNA is filed under the name Candidatus Altimarinota bacterium. RNAcentral's name for it is "tRNA-Asp". It matches the Rfam family "tRNA". From Rfam's summary of the family: Transfer RNA (tRNA) molecules are approximately 80 nucleotides in length. The record is from RNAcentral. RNAcentral also lists the same sequence under 2 other names. Lineage: Bacteria; Candidatus Altimarinota.
GGGGAUGUGGUGUAGAGGCCUAACAUGCAACCCUGUCAAGGUUGAGAUCGCGGGUUCGAAUCCCGUCAUCCCCGCCA